AGCAGAGUCGUGACGGGGGUGACACGCAGCAGCCGGGGGCGGCAGGCCGCGGGAGCCGGGCGCCUCCCACGCAGGGCCGGCGUUCCCCGCCGCGGGCAUUUUAUUAAUGCUUUUACGAGUUAGAAGAGUUGGGAUAAUUUACCACCUGGAGUUUCUCUGCCUUGCUGAUCUGAGCUCAGACCUGCUAAUUUACCAGAGAUGAUUGAUAAGACCCUGUAACAGCUGAGAGGAAAAUGGAAGAAGCAGAGAUACUUUUAGUGAAACAGAAUAAACCACUGAACAGGAAAAAUGAGGAAGCCGUGACUACCAGUGGAAGGAACGAGCCAGGAAGAGGGACUGGAACCAUCUCAGAAGCCGUUCCCCUCAGCCUGGAACUUGCCCUGUCUCCUCGCAGAUGAGGUAGGAGGCUCAGCACAGGCUGGCGGGAGCAGCCCACAGCAGCAGUGAGGGUCAGUGGGCCUGUGAGUUAAGAAGAAGGUGGCACAGAGCGAGGGUCUCUGGGUCCUGUUUGACUUUUCCCUGACUGGGAUAAGUAGCCAGGGCUGGGCUAGUUGGAGAGUUACUUGAAGCUCAGGUGACAGUUGUAAGGCAAGCACAUGGUGAAAAAGAGUCCUAGCCUGGGAAAGUCCAAAAUCUUGGGUCUGCUUUCAGUUCACUCACCUAUCUCUGUGACAUAGCAAAGUCUCUUAACUUCUUUAAUUUUCUGAUUAGUGGUAUAGUUGCAGGAAAGAAAUAAAACUCGUCCUGAUUACUCAGAGAUUCAUUUACUGAUUACUCUUUUUGUGAUUUGAGUAAAGAGUACAACAUCUCUCAAAAGGUAACAAUUUGAUAUUUCAGGAAAUUAGAGAAGUUAAGAGACUUUGCUGUAUUAUGCAGAUAGUUGACUGACAGCUGAGCCCAGACCCAAGAUUCAUUUAUAAAACAAAGGAGUUGAGAAGUACAUACUCUGAGGUUUAUCUUAAAUAAACUAGUCUAGGUAAGUGGCUGAGCUAGGUUUGCCAUGAAUCAAUCUGCUGAGUAUAUUUCUUGGUAACUAGUUCAUCUUUGCUUAAUUCAGUCAACAAAUAUGAUAUCAAGUUUAGUAAGAUGAUGACAGAUGUCAUGUAAUACUCCAUCUGGAAGACUAUGUGCUUCUCAGCUUCCCUAACUUUUCUUAAUCUACCUUAAGCUUCCCUUCUGAAAGGUUUCUGUCUUUCCUAACAGUCUCUUCUUACCGCCAGCUACCUCUUGUGUUUAAGAAUUUAAGGAAGAUGAGCUAGGAAUCAAGAAAUACCCAGAACUGAUUCCUGUCACUGGCCCCACCCUGCCACUUCCCCAGAGCUGUGGUAUAAAUUUUUUUAAUAGGCUGAAAUAAAGAUAUGAAUAGUAUUUUGGUAUUAAGUAUUGAUAAAAGUAAAGGCCAUGAGAUAUACCUGCUCUCACCAUGUUAAUUUUCUAUUAUUGGUAUUAAUAAAUUAUUACUUACUAACAUAUUAACAAGAAUUGCGUCAAGAAAAAAAGCAGCCACAGGCCAAAUCUUUUGAAUUUCAAAUGUUUAUAUUAAUGUAUUGUAUUCUAGAAAAGUAAAAUUGUCUUAAGUAGCUUUGUAAUAUAAAGUAAUCUAUCAGCCCAUGACACCUAUUAGAAUGUUUUAACCUUUGUCUCCCACGUUUUUGUUUCUAAACUGAGUGUACUUGGUCUGGUAUUUGUGGCAUAACUUACAGAACACAUAGGAAUGAUACAGAUACUAUUUAAUGAUGACCUAGUACAAGCUUAGAUAGCUAAGGUGAAAGCUUCUAUGGCCUUAACAUUUUCCUCUUGAAGAAUGUAUUUGCUGUAAUAAAAUACAGUGACUACUUGAAAUCUAUAAACUUAUGUGAGGUCUGGAUAAAUCUGAGCAACUUUCUUCUUUGUGCUCCAGGAACCCAUGCACUAUAUAUAUAAAUAAAGCUUAAGUAAACAUCACUGC
Molecule: long non-coding RNA, 1948 nt
Organism: Rhinopithecus roxellana (golden snub-nosed monkey)
Lineage: Eukaryota; Metazoa; Chordata; Mammalia; Primates; Cercopithecidae
Exons: 4
Source: RefSeq, a predicted model, not a curated record